Molecule: long non-coding RNA, 592 nt
Organism: Gigantopelta aegis
Lineage: Eukaryota; Metazoa; Mollusca; Gastropoda; Neomphalida; Peltospiridae
Exons: 4
Source: RefSeq, a predicted model, not a curated record
AAGAAGAGUGAUCACACUGAGCAUGCACCGAUUCAAGAAAAGACUCAAAACAAAAGAGAAAGAAAAACUAAUGCAGUUGAUGGUCCUGUCUACGUCAAUAUUGAACCAUCUGCAAGAAAUUCAACCAAAAAGCAUGAUUUAAGUGAAACCGAGUUCGGUGACGAAGUGCCAGUCGUAAACAGCGGUGACAUAGCAACAGACGUGGAUGAAGGCGAGCCUGAACACCAACAGACUGACGAGGAGGAGGAGGUCCAGGAUCCUAACACGUACUACAAUGCUGAUCAACCAGCUCCUCCUCCGUUCAAUCUGCCAGAAGAAGGUUUUGACGUCGCAGAACUUGAAGGUAUCAUAGAGAGCAUCAGGAAUCAACCUGGGGGAUUUGAUGCAGAAUACCUUAAACUACCAAGUGGAUUCAAACAUCCGUACACCGAUUCACAGAUUCCAGAUAACAGGUGCAAAAACCGAUUUGCUGGUUACUAUCCAUAUAACAAUAAUCGUGUGAAGCUAUCUCUGCUGCCAAACAUUCCACACUCUGACUACAUCAACGCCAGUUACGUAGAUGUAAGUGUUGACAAUAAUAUUACUAUAACAG